GUCUACGGCCAUGCCACCCUGAACAAGCCCGAUCCUGUCUGAUCUCAGAAGCUAAACAAGAUCAGGCCUGGUUAGCACAUGGAUGGGAGACCACCAAGGAAGACCAGGUGCUGUAGGCA
This 119-nucleotide ribosomal RNA is filed under the name Pteropus alecto (black flying fox). Lineage: Eukaryota; Metazoa; Chordata; Mammalia; Chiroptera; Pteropodidae. The record is from RNAcentral.